ACAUUCCUUUCAUUUAUAGGUUUCAUUUCAAAUUUAAUGUGCGCAUUUCAUGUUCAAAUCUAUAUCAUAUAAAGAUUUUUGAAAAAGAAUAUUAUAUGAGUUACAUGGCAGAGUUCAACCUCUAAGAAAAUUUCAGCAUAAAUUACCCUGAAAAAAUAUUUACAAAAUCUUUCAAUAGAAAUAUGAGAACUUUAACAUAUAUAAAGCAAUCAUGGAGUAUAUAUAAGAGCAAUAUAGCAAAGUGCACUAAUUGCUAUAAGAUUGCUUACACAGAUUGGUAACUUAUUGUGAAUAUAGGAUACAAUAAUAUUAUUGCCAAAGGAUCAGAGGGCUGCCCUUCUAAGUUAAGAUCUUGACCUAAUUUGUAGGUCUAACAUGUAGCACCAUUUUGCCUUUUAUUUUUCUUCUUAAUUAGCUUCCAUUUUUGAUGCAAGUGCUGUGGAUGUUGAGAUCUGAACUUGAGAUUCAUUUUGAGAUAUGUGGCUGAAAGAAAUAAAUUAAAGGUUAAUUGAUGCAUAUAUAAAUGCAACACUUUGGUGAUGAGAGCAAAAAGAUGAGAAUAAUAGUGGUGCUCAAGUGAGGGAAACAUGUUAGUUUUUUGUAGUGGCUUUUGUAGGUGAAAAAGAAAGUGGAGGAAAGGAUCUUCUCAGCAUAUACCUUG
RNAcentral lists this long non-coding RNA (661 nucleotides) under Cicer arietinum (chickpea). Its description in RNAcentral is "long non-coding RNA (CARI_LNC000049)". Lineage: Eukaryota; Viridiplantae; Streptophyta; Magnoliopsida; Fabales; Fabaceae. The record is from RNAcentral.